GAAGCUCAGUGAGGUCAUGGCACUUACCUAAGGUAGCACAGCCUAUUGGUGGGGGAUCUGGAAGGCAGACCCAACUCCUUCCAGCACCAAAGACCCUGUUGUUCUCCUUGGCCCUCUAACAACUCCCAGAAGGCGGCCUCAGGAGCUGACUCAUAGGGAGCUAAACACCUGAUCCCACCUUUGGGACUGGCAUGUGGAGACAGGAAGUUGCCACUGUAAACCUACCAAAGGAGCACUGACUACAAAGCCAGGUGACAGCAAGUGUUGUGGAGGAUGUGGAGCAAGGAAGGCUCUCCUCCAUUGCCAGAACACUUUGGAAAUAGUCAUUUUGUAGAGCAUGCACGUGGACCUCACCCAGCUAUUCCACUCCUGCAGCUAUCCCCAGAGAAACUCAUGCCUUCAGAGACAGAAAGUAAGACUGAGGAAUGCAACCACACAUGGAUGAGCUUUUUCACAAGAUAAUGCCUGCCUGUCG
This 475-nucleotide long non-coding RNA is filed under the name Homo sapiens (human). RNAcentral's name for it is "HSALNT0053885". Lineage: Eukaryota; Metazoa; Chordata; Mammalia; Primates; Hominidae. The record is from RNAcentral.